CCGCGCGUAGAGGAUCCCACAAUCCACUGCCGUUAAUCCACUUGGCUACGUCCGCC
Molecule: transfer RNA, 56 nt
Filed under: Sphaerocarpos texanus
Lineage: Eukaryota; Viridiplantae; Streptophyta; Marchantiopsida; Sphaerocarpales; Sphaerocarpaceae
Description: partial tRNA-His
Source: RNAcentral